CGAACGCUGGCAGCGUGGAUUAGGCAUGCAAGUCGGACGGGAUCGUCUGGAUAGCAAUAUUCGGGCGUGAGAGUGGCGGAUUGGGGAGGAGCACGUGAGCAACCUGCCCUGGAGAUGUGGAAAACCUCUGGAAACGGAGGCUAAUACAGAAUGUGGCGCCCCGUGGCAUCACGGGAGCGCCGAAGGGGGCCGCAAGGCUCCCGCUCCGGGAUGGGCUCGCGCACCAUCAGCUAGUUGGCGGGGUAACGGCCCACCAAGGCCUACGGUUAGCUGGUCUGAGAGGAUGACCAGCCCCACUGGGACUGAGAUACUGCCCAGACUCCUACGGGAGGCUGCAGUCGAGGAUCAUUCGCAAUGGGCGAAAGCCUGACGAUGCGACGCUGCGUGGAGGAUGAAGGCCUUCGGGUCGUAAACUCCUGUCAUGGGGGAAGAGGCGAGGGAAGCGAACACCUUCCUUAGUUGACUGUACCCCAAGAGGAAGCGACGGCUAACUCUGUGCCAGCAGCCGC
RNAcentral lists this ribosomal RNA (509 nucleotides) under uncultured bacterium. Its description in RNAcentral is "bacterial SSU rRNA". It matches the Rfam family "Bacterial small subunit ribosomal RNA", at positions 30 to 518 of the family's 1533-position model. The record is from RNAcentral.